UGGCUCAGAACGAACGCUGGCGGCAUGCUUAACACAUGCAAGUCGCACGGGCACCUCGGUGUCAGUGGCGGACGGGUGAGUAACGCGUAGGUAUCUGUCCUGAGGUGGGGGAUAACCGUGGGAAACUACGGCUAAUACCGCAUGAUGACUAUGGUCCAAAGCAGCGAUGCGCCAUGGGAGGAGCCUGCGUUCGAUUAGCUAGUUGGAGGGGUAUUUGCCUACCAAGGCUGCGAACGAUAGCUGGUCUGAGAGGAUGAUCAGCCACACUGGG
This 271-nucleotide ribosomal RNA is filed under the name uncultured Acetobacteraceae bacterium. RNAcentral describes it as "partial 16S ribosomal RNA". It matches the Rfam family "Bacterial small subunit ribosomal RNA", at positions 20 to 317 of the family's 1533-position model. The record is from RNAcentral. Lineage: Bacteria; Pseudomonadati; Pseudomonadota; Alphaproteobacteria; Acetobacterales; Acetobacteraceae.